RNAcentral lists this ribosomal RNA (586 nucleotides) under uncultured bacterium. RNAcentral describes it as "bacterial SSU rRNA". It matches the Rfam family "Bacterial small subunit ribosomal RNA", at positions 338 to 916 of the family's 1533-position model. The record is from RNAcentral.
CCUACGGGAGGCAGCAGUAGGGAAUCUUCCGCAAUGGACGAAAGUCUGACGGAGCAACGCCGCGUGAACGAUGAAGGCCUUCGGGUCGUAAAGUUCUGUUGUUAGGGAAGAACAAGUGCUAGUUAAAUAAGCUGGCACCUUGACGGUACCUAACCAGAAAGCCACGGCUAACUACGUGCCAGCAGCCGCGGUAAUACGUAGGUGGCAAGCGUUGUCCGGAAUUAUUGGGCGUAAAGCGCGCGCAGGCGGUUUCUUAAGUCUGAUGUGAAAGCCCCCGGCUCAACCGGGGAGGGUCAUUGGAAACUGGGAAACUUGAGUGCAGAAGAGGAAAGUGGAAUUCCAAGUGUAGCGGUGAAAUGCGUAGAGAUUUGGAGGAACACCAGUGGCGAAGGCGACUUUCUGGUCUGUAACUGACGCUGAGGCGCGAAAGCGUGGGGAGCAAACAGGAUUAGAUACCCUGGUAGUCCACGCUGUAAACGAUGAGUGCUAAGUGUUAGAGGGUUUCCGCCCUUUAGUGCUGAAGUUAACGCAUUAAGCACUCCGCCUGGGGAUACGGUCGCAAGACUGAAACUCAAAGGAUUGACGG